This 468-nucleotide ribosomal RNA is filed under the name uncultured bacterium. RNAcentral describes it as "partial 16S ribosomal RNA". It matches the Rfam family "Bacterial small subunit ribosomal RNA", at positions 28 to 507 of the family's 1533-position model. The record is from RNAcentral.
GACGAACGCUGGCGGCGUGCUUAACACAUGCAAGUCGAACGGAAAGGCCCUGCUUUUGUGGGGUGCUCGAGUGGCGAACGGGUGAGUAACACGUGAGUAACCUGCCCUUGACUUUGGGAUAACUUCAGGAAACUGGGGCUAAUACCGGAUAGGAGCUCCUGCUGCAUGGUGGGGGUUGGAAAGUUUCGGCGGUUGGGGAUGGACUCGCGGCUUAUCAGCUUGUUGGUGAGGUAGUGGCUUACCAAGGCUUUGACGGGUAGCCGGCCUGAGAGGGUGACCGGCCACAUUGGGACUGGGAUACGGCCCAGACUCCUACGGGAGGCAGCAGUGGGGAAUAUUGCACAAUGGGCGGAAGCCUGAUGCAGCAACGCCGCGUGCGGGAUGACGGCCUUCGGGUUGUAAACCGCUUUCGCCUGUGACGAAGCGUGAGUGACGGUAAUGGGUAAAGAAGCACCGGCUAACUACGUG